This is a non-coding RNA of Yarrowia lipolytica, 72 nucleotides long. Lineage: Eukaryota; Fungi; Ascomycota; Dipodascomycetes; Dipodascales. The record is from Rfam.
GAAUUAAUAGCUUAAUGGUAAAGCAUACACUUGUCACGUGUAGAAAUGUCUGUUCGACUCAGAUUUAAUUCG